GAUGAACGCUGGCGGCGUGCCUAAUACAUGCAAGUCGAGCGAACGGACGAGAAGCUUGCUUCUCUGAUGUUAGCGGCGGACGGGUGAGUAACACGUGGAUAACCUACCUAUAAGACUGGGAUAACUUCGGGAAACCGUAGCUAAUACCGGAUAAUAUUUUGAACCGCAUGGUUCAAAAGUGAAAGACGGUCUUGCUGUCACUUAUAGAUGGAUCCGCGCUGCAUUAGCUAGUUGGUAAGGUAACGGCUUACCAAGGCAACGAUGCAUAGCCGACCUGAGAGGGUGAUCAGCCACACUGGAACUGAGACACGGUCCAGACUCCUACGGGAGGCAGCAGUAGGGAAUCUUCCGCAAUGGGCGAAAGCCUGACGGAGCAACGCCGCGUGAGUGAUGAAGGUCUUCGGAUCGUAAAACUCUGUUAUUAGGGAAGAACAUAUGUGUAAGUAACUGUGCACAUCUUGACGGUACCUAAUCAGGAAGCCACGGCUAACUACGUG
This 497-nucleotide ribosomal RNA is filed under the name uncultured bacterium. RNAcentral's name for it is "partial 16S ribosomal RNA". It matches the Rfam family "Bacterial small subunit ribosomal RNA", at positions 28 to 507 of the family's 1533-position model. The record is from RNAcentral.